GGGAAUGAAAGAGAACCUGAAACCGUAUGCCUACAAGCAGUCGGAGCACGAUAAGGGUGUGACGGCGUGCCUAUUGAAGAAUGAACCGGCGAGUUAGUAUAUGCGGCGAGGUUAAGCGGAAGACGCGGAGCCGAAGCGAAAGCGAGUCUGAAGAGGGCGAGAAGUCGGAUAUAGUAGACCCGAAACCACAGUGAUCUAUCCAUGCCCAGGUUGAAGCACAGGUAACAAUGUGUGGAGGACCGAACCAGUGAGCGUUGAAAAGCUUUUGGAUGAGGUGUGGAUAGGGGUGAAAUGCCAAUCGAACGUGGAGAUAGCUGGUUCUCCCCGAAAUAGCUUUAGGGCUAGCCUCAUGGAGAGAGUAGUGGCGGUAGAGCACUGAACAGGGAAGGGGCCGAGCGGUUACCGAACCUAAUCAAACUACGAAUGGCAGUACUUAUACAUGGGAGUCAGACUGCGAGUGAUAAGACCCGCAGUCAAGAGGGAAACAGCCCGGACCACCCGCUAAGGUCCCCAAUGCCGUGCUAAGUGGAAAAGGAGGUGACGUUUCGAAAACAACCGGGAUGUUGGCUCAGAAGCAGCCAUCAUUAAAAGAGUGCGUAAUAGCUCACCGGUCGAGAGACGUCGCGCCGAAGAUGACCGGGGCUCAAGCACGGAACCGAAGCGAUGGCAUGUAUGGGAACCAUACAUGGGUAGGGGAGCGUUCCUAUGGGGGAGAAGCCUGACCGGAAGGACAGGUGGACCGAUAGGAAGUGAGAAUGCCGGUAUGAGUAGCGAAAAGAAAGGUGAGAAUCCUUUCCACCGAAAGCCGAAGGGUUCCCGGGCAACGAUCGUCGACCCGGGGUAAGUCGGGACCUAAUCCGAGGCGAAGACGCAUAGGAGAUGGAGAGCAGGUUGAAAUUCCUGCACCGGCGCAGACCGAUAGAGCGAGGGAGUGACACAAGAAGGAACGUUCGCAUGCGAAUGGAAGAGCAUGUCCAAGCAGGUAGGGAGUGUGGCAGGCAAAUCCGGCACACAAAAAGCCCGAGAUGUGAUGGGGAGGCUGUAGAGAUACAGGCGAAGGAACGGGGACUCGAUUGUCAAGAAAAGCUUCUAGCGAGGGCUGCGGCGCCCGUACCAAAACCGACACAGGUAGGCGGGAAGAGAAUUCUAAGGUGCGCGGGAAAACCCUCGUUAAGGAACUCGGCAAAAUGUAUCCGUAACUUCGGGAAAAGGAUAACCCCGAGUAGGUGAGGACCGGAAGCGGUAGGAGCUGAAAGGGGUGGCACAAGAGAGGCCCAAGCGACUGUUUAGCACAAACACAGGCGUCUGCAAAAGCGAAAGCUGACGUAUAGAUGCUGACACCUGCCCGGUGCCGGAAGGUUAAGAGGACGUGUAAGCUGAAAGGCGAAGCAGAGAAUUGAAGCCCCGGUAAACGGCGGCCGUAACUAUAACGGUCCUAAGGUAGCGAAAUUCCUUGUCGGGUAAGUUCCGACCCGCACGAAAGGUGUAACGAUUUGGGCACUGUCUCAACGAGGGACCCGGUGAAAUUGAAGUACCUGUGAAGAUGCAGGUUACCCGCGACUGGACAGAAAGACCCCAUGGAGCUUUACUGUAACCUGAGAUGGAGUUUCGGUAGAAGACGUACAGGAUAGUUGGGAGACGUAGAGGCGUGAACGCCAGUUUGCGCGGAGUCGGCGGUGGGAUACCAACCUUGUUUUAUUGAAAUUCUAACCGAGAGCCGUAAUCGAGGCUUCGGACAGUCUCAGGCGGGCAGUUUGACUGGGGCGGUCGCCUCCGAAAGAGCAACGGAGGCGCCCAAAGGUUCCCUCAGCGCGGACGGAAACCGCGCGCAGAGUGCAAAGGCAGAAGGGAGCUUGACUGCGAGACGGACAGG
Molecule: ribosomal RNA, 1873 nt
Filed under: human gut metagenome
Description: bacterial LSU rRNA
Rfam family: Bacterial large subunit ribosomal RNA
Source: RNAcentral